This 460-nucleotide ribosomal RNA is filed under the name uncultured bacterium. Its description in RNAcentral is "partial 16S ribosomal RNA". It matches the Rfam family "Bacterial small subunit ribosomal RNA", at positions 338 to 795 of the family's 1533-position model. The record is from RNAcentral.
CCUACGGGUGGCAGCAGUGAGGAAUAUUGGUCAAUGGACGAGAGUCUGAACCAGCCAAGUAGCGUGAAGGAUGACUGCCCUAUGGGUUGUAAACUUCUUUUAUAUGGGAAUAAAAUGUUCCACGUGUGGGAUUUUGUAUGUACCAUAUGAAUAAGGAUCGGCUAACUCCGUGCCAGCAGCAGCGGUAAUACGGAGGAUACGAGCGUUAUCCGGAUUUAUUGGGUUUAAAGGGAGCGUAGGUGGAUUGUUAAGUCAGUUGUGAAAGUUUGCGGCUCAACCGUAAAAUUGCAGUUGAAACUGGCAGUCGUGAGUACAGUAGAGGUGGGCGGAAUUCGUGGUGUAGCGGUGAAAUGCUUAGAGAUCACGAAGAACUCCGAUUGCGAAGGCAGCUCACUGGACUGCAACUGACACUGAGGCUCGAAAGUGUGGGUAUCAAACAGGAUUAGAUACCCCUGUAGUC